Molecule: transfer RNA, 83 nt
Filed under: Canis lupus familiaris (dog)
Lineage: Eukaryota; Metazoa; Chordata; Mammalia; Carnivora; Canidae
Rfam family: tRNA
About the family: Transfer RNA (tRNA) molecules are approximately 80 nucleotides in length. Their secondary structure includes four short double-helical elements and three loops (D, anti-codon, and T loops). Further hydrogen bonds mediate the characteristic L-shaped molecular structure. tRNAs have two regions of fundamental functional importance: the anti-codon, which is responsible for specific mRNA codon recognition, and the 3' end, to which the tRNAs corresponding amino acid is attached (by aminoacyl-tRNA synthetases). tRNAs cope with the degeneracy of the genetic code in two manners: having more than one tRNA (with a specific anti-codon) for a particular amino acid; and 'wobble' base-pairing, i.e. permitting non-standard base-pairing at the 3rd anti-codon position.
Source: Rfam by way of RNAcentral
ACCUGGGUGGCUCAGUGGUUGAGCAUCUGCCUUUGGCUCAGGUCAUGAUCCCAGGGUCCUGGGAUUGAGUCCCACCUCAGGUU